UACGGAGGAUCCGAGCGUUAUCCGGAUUUAUUGGGUUUAAAGGGAGCGUAGGCGGGUUGUUAAGUCAGUUGUGAAAGUUUGCGGCUCAACCGUAAAAUUGCAGUUGAUACUGGCAUCCUUGAGUACAGUAGAGGUAGGCGGAAUUCGUGGUGUAGCGGUGAAAUGCAUAGAUAUCACGCAGAACGCCGAUUGCGAAGGCAGCAUACCGGCGCCCGACUGACGCUGAGGCACGAAAGCGUGGGGAUCGAACAGG
RNAcentral lists this ribosomal RNA (253 nucleotides) under uncultured bacterium. Its description in RNAcentral is "partial 16S ribosomal RNA". It matches the Rfam family "Bacterial small subunit ribosomal RNA", at positions 524 to 776 of the family's 1533-position model. The record is from RNAcentral.